This 30-nucleotide non-coding RNA is filed under the name Rattus norvegicus (Norway rat). Lineage: Eukaryota; Metazoa; Chordata; Mammalia; Rodentia; Muridae. The record is from RNAcentral.
UGGACGAUUGUAGUGAUCAACCAAGAAGAC